Molecule: ribosomal RNA, 255 nt
Filed under: uncultured bacterium
Lineage: Bacteria
Description: partial 16S ribosomal RNA
Rfam family: Bacterial small subunit ribosomal RNA
Source: RNAcentral
UACGUAGGGGGCAAGCGUUGUCCGGAAUCAUUGGGCGUAAAGCGCGUGUAGGCGGCUCGAUAAGUCUGCUGUGAAAGUUCAGGGCUCAACCCUGAAAUGCCGGUGGAAACUGUCGGGCUAGAGUCCGGAAGAGGCGAGUGGAAUUCCUGGUGUAGCGGUGAAAUGCGCAGAUAUCAGGAGGAACACCAAUGGCGAAAGGCAGCUCGCUGGGACGGUACUGACGCUGGAGACGCGAAAGCGUGGGGAGCAAACAGG